GACAGAGGGUGCAAACGUUGCUCGGAAUUACUGGGCGUAAAGCGCGUGUAGGCGGACCACCAAGUCGGACGUGAAAGCCCUGAGCUCAACUCAGGAACUGCAUCCGAAACUGGCGGUCUGGAGUAGUGGAGAGGAAAGCAGAAUUCCUGGUGUAGAGGUGAAAUUCGUAGAUAUCAGGAGGAACACCGGUGGCGAAGGCGGCUUUCUGGACACUUACUGACGCUGAGACGCGAAAGCGUGGGGAGCAAACAGG
Molecule: ribosomal RNA, 253 nt
Filed under: uncultured bacterium
Lineage: Bacteria
Also listed under: 2 other names
Description: partial 16S ribosomal RNA
Rfam family: Bacterial small subunit ribosomal RNA
Source: RNAcentral